Molecule: long non-coding RNA, 1363 nt
Organism: Daphnia magna
Lineage: Eukaryota; Metazoa; Arthropoda; Branchiopoda; Diplostraca; Daphniidae
Exons: 5
Source: RefSeq, a predicted model, not a curated record
UUUUAAUGACCAUAUUGGUCCGUAAGUUAUUCUUUUCUUUGGCAUUUCCGGCUUUACUGCCUGAAUAUGUCUCAUUUAGUUGUAAACCCAAAAGAAGCACCAUUAAAAGGGUGUUGGGUAGAGAUUGUAGCUGAGAACUGGGUCAAAGAGGACAUUUUGUACAUAACUGAUAACUCGUACUCGUCAGCCUAUAAACGAAACAUGUUGAUCGGUGGAGCUGAACCGGUUGUUAAAGUUGAGAAUUUAAAUAAGAUAAUUUAUAUUUCAAUAGUUGUGAUGGUAUUCACUUAAAUAUUUGUCCUAUUAGAUACCUAUGAAGAGGCUAGGCAAAAUCUCCCCCGUGCGAAAAAAGGUUUGCCAAUUCUGCCAAAUGAUCCCUCUCAAACUGGAAGAGGUUGUCGACAAAUUACUUUGAAAAGCAGAAAACUGCCUGGUGAAGCUACCACAGAACAAGAGAGUGAUGUCAGUCUGAACGUUGAAAGUUACUUUGCUACUACCUCCAAGUCAUUACUUAAGACCAACACAACAGCGAGUAAAGGAAAAGGAAUCGCUAAACGAUCAGCACCUGGACCAAGUAAAAUCAGUUUACUACCUAUUCCACCCUCUGGAGUCUGGACUUCAGAAUAAAAAGAAGAAGGAAAAGCCACACGAUACAAAUCAAGUAGAGACUGUACCAAAAGCAAUUAAUACACCACGACCACAACAGAUCCAGAAGUCAUCAUCUACUACCUGUUUAGUGCCAGCAGAUACGUCCAGCAAUCAACCAUCAGCACGUUCUAUUACCGACAAUGAUGGUAACGAAUCAUGUUUGGAUUUCAAUAACGAUUGCACGGAUAUUGAGCAGAAUAGUCAGGAGAUCAAUGACGAAAUGUUGUGUACUGGCUUUCCAAAUGAUACACAAGGAAUGUCAAAUGGGAACAUGGUACAAUCGUUUUCUAUGGACACCGAAUAUCUGACGGCACCAUGCAGAAAUAGGAAUAGCAGCCAGGUCCGUGUUUUCAGUGUUGGCCCAAAUGAACGAAAAGUUAAACAUGAUUGAAAAAACGGUUGCGAAACCAGUCACCGACGAGAAUAAUGAAAAUGAUUCCAGCGACGAGGAAGAUGACUGACUACCCCAGGCGGUCUUGGCGGAUUGGUCAAAAAGGGGAGACAGGGAAAAGGGAUGAGUUAAAAUGGCCGCCGAAGCCAAUAUUUUACAUCAAAAUAGGGAGAUUUCAAACAAUUAAAUCGGCACUAUGGAGAAUUUAACCCUAGCGAAAUAAAUAGAGCAUAUACUAUGAUAUGUCCUCUUUUUUUUAGUGCAAAAAUUACAAAUAAAUCUCAGAAGCGAAUCUGUUAAGGUCUACUUUUGUAAGACACACUC